RNAcentral lists this ribosomal RNA (394 nucleotides) under Faecalibacterium prausnitzii. RNAcentral describes it as "partial 23S ribosomal RNA". It matches the Rfam family "Bacterial large subunit ribosomal RNA", at positions 1887 to 2288 of the family's 2925-position model. Lineage: Bacteria; Bacillati; Bacillota; Clostridia; Eubacteriales; Oscillospiraceae. The record is from RNAcentral.
AUGUGCAAGCAUUGAAUCGAAGCCCCAGUGAACGGCGGCCGUAACUAUAACGGUCCUAAGGUAGCGAAAUUCCUUGUCAGGUAAGUUCUGACCCGCAUGAAAGGCGUAAUGAUUUGGGCACUGUCUCAACAGCCCGCCCGGCGAAAUUGUAGUACCGGUGAAGAUGCCGGUUACCCGCGACAAGACGGAAAGACCCCAUGGAGCUUUACUGUAGCCUAAUAUUGGGUUUCGAUGUUGCAUGCACAGGAUAGAUGGGACACAGGGAAACAAGUGCUUUGGCAUUUGUGGAGUGGCCGUUGGGAUACCAUCCUUGCGAUAUUGGAAUUCUAACCUGCGCCUUUGAAUCAAGGCGGGGGACAUUGUUAGGUGGGCAGUUUGACUGGGGCGGUCGCCU